RNAcentral lists this ribosomal RNA (253 nucleotides) under uncultured bacterium. Its description in RNAcentral is "partial 16S ribosomal RNA". It matches the Rfam family "Bacterial small subunit ribosomal RNA", at positions 524 to 776 of the family's 1533-position model. The record is from RNAcentral.
UACGAAGGGGGCGAGCGUUGUUCGGAAUUACUGGGCGUAAAGGGCGCGUAGGCGGCGACCCAAGUCAGAUGUGAAAGUCCUGGGCUUAACCUGGGGACUGCAUUUGAUACUGGGUUGCUUGAAUUCGGGAGAGGAUAGCGGAAUUCCCAGUGUAGAGGUGAAAUUCGUAGAUAUUGGGAAGAACACCGGUGGCGAAGGCGGCUAUCUGGACCGACAUUGACGCUGAGGUGCGAAAGCGUGGGGAGCAAACAGG